Nematostella vectensis (starlet sea anemone) is the source of this 475-nucleotide long non-coding RNA. RefSeq lists it as uncharacterized. NCBI's taxonomy places the organism in Eukaryota, Metazoa, Cnidaria, Anthozoa, Actiniaria, Edwardsiidae. The record is from RefSeq and is a predicted model, not a curated record. The transcript has 3 exons.
UAGCAACUUGAUUGGCCGGAAAAGGUGUGAGUGAUUGCUUUCCAAAUAAAUGAUUGUCUUGGUGAAAAAGGAAUUAUAAUGAUACUCUGCAGUGUCUUGUUCUUUAUUUCGAAGGUGGAAAAAGCGAGAAUUAAGGAAUCGUAAUCCCACGCAACAUGAAGGGUUCUACCGCCGUAGUUAUCGUGUCUGCCAUGCUGCUCUGUCACGCAGGUCUGAGUGCUGGCAUCGCUUGCUACUCCUGUCCCACGUUGUCCCAUAACUGCUAUCAACAGAAGAAAAUCGUUGAUUGCGGCUCAAGCCGGUGCAGUAAGAUCGCAGCCCCCGACGGCAGAUUCCAGCUGGGGUGCCAAAGUAGCUUUAUCUGCGACUACUUUCCUUCAAUCAAUGGCUACCAACUAACAUGCUGUCGGUCGCAUCUUUGUAUGACUAACUGAUAAUUGCCAUGUCAAAUCUAACAAUAAAAGUCGCUCAUGUA